CUGUUGUGAGCAUUCCCAAUGGUCCUUCUGCACUUGCAGUUAAGGAAGCAGCCUGGGGUCUUGCUCGCUAUGCUGCCAUUUCUCAGGUAAGCUGGCAUGUAUAUAGGAAACAGAAACACACAAAUCUGAAAGAAUUUCAGUUAGAGUUCAAGUUUUGUGCAGGUUAAAUUUAUCUACAAUAGUAGGUAACGUGCUAUAAUAGAUGAAAUUGCGCUAAUGUUGUAAAUAAUUUUAAGAAAUCAGUGUAUAUAAGUUAAACUCUAUGUUAUUCUAAGCUUUUAAAGCGAAUAAUGGUUAAAGUUUUUUUUAUUCUUGUAGGACAAUGGGUUGGUACCCAUCGUUGAGCCAGAGAUCUUACUUGAUGGAGAACACAACAUUGACAGGACCUUUGAAGUCGCCAAGAAGGUGUGGGCUGAAGUGUUCUUCUACCUCGCCGAGAACAAUGUCAUGUUUGAAGGUAUCCUCUUGAAGCCCAGUAUGGUCACCCCUGGAGCAGAGUGCAAGGAAAGGGCCACCCCGCAGCAAGUUGCUGAUUACACCCUCAACCUCCUCCGCCAAAGAAUCCCUCCUGCCGUCCCAGGAAUCAUGGCAAGUAUUAUCUACUCUUCUGUUAUUAUCCAACACAUCAAGUUGCUGACUACACCCUCAACCUCCUCCGCCAAAGAAUUCCUCCUGCCGUCCCAGGAAUCAUGGCAAGUAUUAUCUGCAUUUCUAUUAUAUCAAACAUCUUUCCGUAAUUCCAAGAACUUGACUAUUAAUCUUUUACAUGGUUUGUUCUACACAGUUUUUGUCUGGUGGACAAUCUGAAGUUGAGGCAACUCUUAACUUGAACGCCAUGAACCAAGGUCCCAACCCAUGGCACGUGUCCUUCUCAUAUGCCA
This 881-nucleotide long non-coding RNA is filed under the name Nicotiana benthamiana. RNAcentral describes it as "long non-coding RNA (NBEN_LNC011869)". The record is from RNAcentral. Lineage: Eukaryota; Viridiplantae; Streptophyta; Magnoliopsida; Solanales; Solanaceae.